Molecule: long non-coding RNA, 1115 nt
Organism: Aegilops tauschii subsp. strangulata
Lineage: Eukaryota; Viridiplantae; Streptophyta; Magnoliopsida; Poales; Poaceae
Source: RefSeq, a predicted model, not a curated record
GGCUAGAGACGAGGCGAGCCCUAGAAAAUAUCUCCCCCGUGUCUCCUCGUCCCCUCUUUCCUCCGCCGGCUCCCAUCCCUGCCCUUCCUCUCCUCCGCCGUUCCCCAUCCGCCGCCACCGCCGCCGUGCCAGCCCCGCACCACCGUCUUUCGCGUUGGCUUCUCCUUUCCCCAAGCCGCUGCUAUCCUGCUCGUCACGUUGACUGCCGACGAUAGGAGGAGACCCGGGGGAGCAGAGGAGGGAGGUGGACGACGGGGUGAGGAGGCACGAGGGUGAGCAGGAGGUGGGGGUCAGAGGAUGCAGCGGCGCUGGGUUCUCUCCCCACGCCACCAUGUCGUUUGUUCUUCCUCCCUAAGGUUCAGAUCUGAAGCGGGAGAGACACACGUGCAAAGUGGCAGAAGAGGGAACAGGGUGAGGGUUGUGAUGGGAACGCCAGGACGACGGCGAGAAGUGGAUCUCUGAGCUGGCUGCCGGUCCUCUCAGGUACAAGAUUUCACUCCAUGCCAUAGACGUGCAACAUGAUGGUGUAACAUACCAAAGUUAUUGGGCCGUGUGAACUGUGCAGGUUCGGGAGACAAGGAAGGAACCAGAUGCUCCCAAAGUUCUUCUGGUUGAGUCGAUUACUUACUAGCAAUGAUAUUCACAAUGAGAAGCCUUUAUAGCAGGCUACUUUGAUUGAUUCCCAAACUAUGGCUUAGUUACAAAUAUUUUGGUGGUGAUGUUUCAUACACCAGUCCAGUGUUGCUACCCAAUGAUGAGUUGUAUGAAGCACUUUGAAAUGCUUUGAAGAAAGUCUUUUAGGUGGUGGUUCUACUGCUGCUACUUCUGUGACAGCCAAGGCGUAGGUUGCAGCUCGCAGAGCUUUAAGGAGGAAAGGAAGACAUGAUUUCUUCUUGAAGAGGCCUUCAAGUGCAUGUGGAAGUGUAGCAUGCAAGCAUUAUGCGACAAUGACACACUGCUUAUCGUACGCUCACACCCUCUAAAGACCACAAUCAGACUAAGAAGAUGCUUAAAUAAGCUGUAAACCAAUAUAAGUCAUUCUACUAUAUAUAUCUGUACUAUUAUCUGUAAUACAAUCCACAUUGCAUUAUAUUUCCAGCUACAUCUCCUACUAA